RNAcentral lists this ribosomal RNA (119 nucleotides) under Pteropus alecto (black flying fox). The record is from RNAcentral. Lineage: Eukaryota; Metazoa; Chordata; Mammalia; Chiroptera; Pteropodidae.
GUCUACGGCCAUGCCACCCUGAACAAGCCCGAUCCCGUCUGAUCUCGGAAGCUGAGCAGGGUCGGGCCUGGUUAGUACUCGGCUGGGAGACCACCUAGGAAGACCAGGUGCUGUAGGCG